UAUUAAAUUAUUAAACAAUUUCGAAAUAUUUAAAUAAAUCAAAAGUAAAUUCCUUUAUGUCACAUCACAGUUUAUAUUAAUAUAACCACUCACUUAACCUUAAAUUAAACACAAUUUAAGUUAAUCAAACACCUUAAUAUAAUCUACACUCAAAUAAAUUAAACUAACCACCUAAUAACACUUAACAUAAACUAAGCAC
Molecule: long non-coding RNA, 199 nt
Filed under: Eucalyptus grandis
Lineage: Eukaryota; Viridiplantae; Streptophyta; Magnoliopsida; Myrtales; Myrtaceae
Description: long non-coding RNA (EGRA_LNC007521)
Source: RNAcentral